ACCGUGAGUUUAUCUUUCUCUACAAUAAUAUUCAAGAUAAUAACCAAACACUGCAAAAUUUCCUUUAAAUAACCAGUUAAGUAGCAGCAACCCAACAAUGGGUUGUUCGGUUUGUCUGAAAAUUGUUAGAUUUGCUCUAAAUGCUUCAGUUUCUGAGAUUUAAGUAAGCAACUGAAUUUGACCCCUAUGUUCUAUUUUUAGCUAU
This 205-nucleotide long non-coding RNA is filed under the name Mytilus galloprovincialis (Mediterranean mussel). The record is from RNAcentral. Lineage: Eukaryota; Metazoa; Mollusca; Bivalvia; Mytilida; Mytilidae.